Molecule: ribosomal RNA, 301 nt
Filed under: uncultured bacterium
Lineage: Bacteria
Description: partial 16S ribosomal RNA
Rfam family: Bacterial small subunit ribosomal RNA
Source: RNAcentral
CAGUAGCCGCAGUAAUACGUAGGUGGCAAGCGUUGUCCGGAAUUAUUGGGCGUAAAGCGCGCGCAGGUGGUUUAAUAAGUCUGAUGUGAAAGCCCACGGCUCAACCGUGGAGGGUCAUUGGAAACUGUUAAACUUGAGUGCAGGAGAGAAAAGUGGAAUUCCUAGUGUAGCGGUGAAAUGCGUAGAGAUUAGGAGGAACACCAGUGGCGAAGGCGGCUUUUUGGCCUGUAACUGACACUGAGGCGCGAAAGCGUGGGGAGCAAACAGGAUUAGAUACCCCAGUAGUCCCUGUCUCUUAUAC